RNAcentral lists this ribosomal RNA (713 nucleotides) under uncultured bacterium. RNAcentral's name for it is "bacterial SSU rRNA". It matches the Rfam family "Bacterial small subunit ribosomal RNA", at positions 8 to 717 of the family's 1533-position model. The record is from RNAcentral.
AGAGUUUGAUCAUGGCUCAGAUUGAACGCUGGCGGAAUGCUUUACACAUGCAAGUCGAGCGGCAGCGCGGGGCAACCUGGCGGCGAGCGGCGAACGGGUGAGUAAUGCAUCGGAACAUGUCCAUGUCGUGGGGGAUAGCCCGGCGAAAGCCGGAUUAAUACCGCAUACGCCCGAGAGGGGAAAGUGGGGGACCGCAAGGCCUCACGCGAUUGGGUUGGCCGAUGUCCGAUUAGCUAGUUGGCGGGGUAAAGGCCCACCAAGGCGAUGAUCGGUAGCUGGUCUGAGAGGAUGAUCAGCCACACUGGGACUGAGACACGGCCCAGACUCCUACGGGAGGCAGCAGUGGGGAAUUUUGGACAAUGGGGGCAACCCUGAUCCAGCCAUUCCGCGUGAGUGAAGAAGGCCUUCGGGUUGUAAAGCUCUUUUGUCCGGAACGAAACGGUGGAUGUGAAUAGCGUCCACUACUGACGGUACCGGAAGAAUAAGCACCGGCUAACUACGUGCCAGCAGCCGCGGUAAUACGUAGGGUGCGAGCGUUAAUCGGAAUUACUGGGCGUAAAGCGUGCGCAGGCGGUUUUGUAAGCCAGAUGUGAAAGCCCCGGGCUUAACCUGGGAAUGGCAUUUGGGACUGCAAGGCUUGAGUGCGGCAGAGGAGACUGGAAUUCCCGGUGUAGCAGUGAAAUGCGUAGAUAUCGGGAGGAAUACCGAUGGCG